CUUAAACAUGAGGCUUUAAAAGGAAAGAAGAGCGAGGGGAGUGGUGUGAAGAAGACAUGAAGCUUAAGAACAUGGCAAUAGCCGUACUGGAUGAAAAAGCUGACUGCCUCUGGAAACAGCUGAGAAAAGACUGGAAGCCCAAGGCAAAGACAGCAGCAAAUUCUGGUGUUUUCCCAACACUUUCUCCCAGCUCUCAGUAAUCAGAAGACCUGGAACUUUCUGAGCUUUCCCAGGAGUGGUGUGGUGAGCUUACAGGCUGCUGGAGUUGUUGCAAAAGCCCCGAUUCACCAAAGUGGUGAUCCCCACCGAUUUUUGACGGCAGUACAGGGAGCGAUGGCUCUUCAUGAAGGAGGAAUGAUCUGCUAUGAUUGCACAGGUCAGUGCAGCAGGAUGCCACGGGGCCCUGUGCCACGUUCACUGAGGAUGCAGUGAGCACUUCAGUACUGUGACUGCUCUUUGUGAAACUCGGGCAAACGCAUGACCCAUUGCCAACACAGCAGGUGAUUUGAGACUAAACAAGGAAGCAGUGAUGCUACCAGAUUUCCAUUAACAAGCAAGAAACAUGCGAGUCCAAAGUUUCAUCUGCAUCUCCACUUGUGACCAUCGCAUAUAAACACAAUGGCAUUCAGUGAAGCGCUAGAAGUAAAGCAGUUGUGUUUGUUCUCAGA
This is a long non-coding RNA of Lagopus leucura (white-tailed ptarmigan), 668 nucleotides long. RefSeq lists it as uncharacterized. The record is from RefSeq and is a predicted model, not a curated record. The transcript is spliced from 2 exons. NCBI's taxonomy places the organism in Eukaryota, Metazoa, Chordata, Aves, Galliformes, Phasianidae.